RNAcentral lists this ribosomal RNA (375 nucleotides) under uncultured soil bacterium. Its description in RNAcentral is "bacterial SSU rRNA". It matches the Rfam family "Bacterial small subunit ribosomal RNA", at positions 26 to 404 of the family's 1533-position model. The record is from RNAcentral.
AGGACGAACGCUGGCGGCGUGCUUAACACAUGCAAGUCGAACGGUGAAGGAGAGCUUGCUCUCCGGAUCAGUGGCGAACGGGUGAGUAACACGUGAGUAACCUGCCCUUGACUCUGGGAUAAGCGUUGGAAACGACGUCUAAUACCGGAUACGAGCUUCAGCCGCAUGGCUAGGAGCUGGAAGGAUUUCGGUCAAGGAUGGACUCGCGGCCUAUCAGCUAGUUGGUGAGGUAAUGGCUCACCAAGGCGACGACGGGUAGCCGGCCUGAGAGGGUGACCGGCCACGACGUGGGACUGAGACACGGCCAGACUCCGUACGGGAGCAGCAGGUAGGGAAUAGUUGGACAACGAAGUCGGGACGACAACGGCCGUAGGA